Non-coding RNA from Vicia faba (fava bean), 201 nucleotides. The record is from the annotation of a GenBank genome assembly. Lineage: Eukaryota; Viridiplantae; Streptophyta; Magnoliopsida; Fabales; Fabaceae.
AUGGUAACUUGUAAGUGUGAUACAUCAACUGGAUACUUGGAAAAACUAAAUCACCCAGAGCAUUUUAGGUCUAACAUGUCUUUGUUACUGGACUGGUCUCCAUAUCGAUCAGAAGCAGAAGUCUUGAAACAAGGCGGUGCUUUAUGGUUUCAGAAUGUAACUGAAUUCUCUCAAGGUUAUUCAGGGACAAAUUUGACAUAG